Molecule: long non-coding RNA, 1015 nt
Organism: Aegilops tauschii subsp. strangulata
Lineage: Eukaryota; Viridiplantae; Streptophyta; Magnoliopsida; Poales; Poaceae
Source: RefSeq, a predicted model, not a curated record
GGUCACCGGUCCCUCGGUCGCUCCCGCCGGUUAAAAAUGUCAACAGCUACUUGUCUCAAAAACAACUCAAAAAAGCGAAAAUCUGUUUCUGAGCUCGGGCUCAGAUGAUCCCGAUAUCCAGACCGACGGUUCGCAUCAGGAUUUGUGCGUCUUUUUGUAUUUUUCGGUCGUAUAUGUCGUUGUCCUGUGUGUUGCAGUGGAGCAUUUAUUGACACGUCGCGUUGCAGCACCGUCGCGGGACAGAUAGAGGAGGGCUCGGCAUCUUAUCUAAGCUAACCCCGUCGCGGGACAGAUAUAGAAGCGAUGGCUCGGCAAUUUAUCUGAGCCACCCUGAGCCGUAUGAAGUAAAGCCCCACACAGACGGAGUCGACACAGCUGGCAAUAUAAAUGCCUUGCCUUACCCACCUCCGCCCAUCCGCCCAACGCUCGCAUUCACUCUCCCCUCUCCCCAAUCUCUCCACUGCUCAGUCAUACCCAGCUUCAUCCUCAUCUCGGCCGCCAUGUCCGCAUCGUCUUCAUCCUCUCUCCCUGUCCCGGCGGAUUGGCUGCUCCCUCUGAUGGCAUGUCCACUCUGCGGCGACGAGCCGUCGCAAGGAGCGGGAACCAGGCGGGGCAACGCUUCUACAAGUGCAUCCGCUACUAUGCACGGCAGUUUGGUUUCUUUGAGUUCCAGCGUGCGUACUGAAGGAGGAUGACUCAUGAGCAGAUCGUCGCUGCACAGCACCAAGCCGGAUGGCACCCAGCCAGGCUUGGAUUUGCAGUCCAUCAGGGCAAUGCGGCUGCUCAAAUGGUUCAUGCUGCCAUCCAGCCCCAGAUCCAGCCGCAUGCGCAGCCGCAGAUCCAGGCCCCGGUGCAGCAGCUCCCGCCGGCGGUCAACAAUCUGAUAGCCAAUGCCAUCAGGACAUACAGCAAACAAGUCAAAAAUAGCCCAGCACUUGCCUUCUACAAGCAAUCAGUACAUAUGUUUAUUUUCCUUUAUCUGCAAGUAAAUGGCCACUCACCGAGCAACCACAAA